Molecule: ribosomal RNA, 460 nt
Filed under: uncultured bacterium
Lineage: Bacteria
Description: partial 16S ribosomal RNA
Rfam family: Bacterial small subunit ribosomal RNA
Source: RNAcentral
CCUACGGGAGGCAGCAGUGAGGAAUAUUGGUCAAUGGGCGGAAGCCUGAACCAGCCAAGUCGCGUGAGGGAUUAAUGCCCUGCGGGUCGUAAACCUCUUUUGCCGGGGAGCAGAGUUCCUUACGUGUCCUGUCCUGUAUGGUCCCCGGAGAAAAAGCCUCGGAUAACUCCUUGCCAGCAGCCGCGGUAAUACGGGGGUUGCGAGCGUUAUCCGGUUUUAUUGGGUUUACAGGGUGCGUAGGCGGGCAUUUAAGCCGGCGGUCAAAUGUCGGGGCUAAACCCCGGCCUGCCGUCGGAACUGGGUGCCUUGAGUGGGCGAGAAGUAGGCGGAAUGCGUGGUGUAGCGGUGAAAUGCAUAGAUAUCACGCAGAACCCCGAUUGCGAAGGCAGCUUGCUGCAGCGGAACUGACGCUGAUGCUCGAAAGCGCGGGUAUCGAACAGGAUUAGAUACCCGUGUAGUC